RNAcentral lists this small RNA (161 nucleotides) under Firmicutes bacterium CAG:882. RNAcentral describes it as "Clostridiales-1 RNA". It matches the Rfam family "Clostridiales-1 RNA". Lineage: Bacteria; Bacillati; Bacillota. The record is from Rfam by way of RNAcentral.
AUAUAAUAAAUCCAUUAAUAUAUAGUGCGUGGCUGUUCACAGUCAGAGCACUAUAUCUAUUAGAUGGGUAAACAGACAUGAGCAAAACAGGGCGAUAGCCCGAUUUGCGAAUGGAUGUUGUGAUUUCGGGAGUUCGCAGAACGGAGAAAUCACGAUUAUAU